UUUCUUGAGGAGGGAAGACAAGUCCCUUGAGGGGAAAUUAGGCAAAUUGUGUGCCUGUUCCAGCCAGGCAGGCUCCAAUCCUCUGCAGGGAAAUUAACUUGUCACCCACUUGGCUGUCACUUGUGCUCUUUUCACAGCCUCUUGCAUUGUGGCCUCAUUACAGCCAUAGGAAGAUGUGAACGCACAAGUGCUUGCACCCCAGCACUUGAAGUUCUUCUGGUCCUUUCCAGAUGCAGCUUUGGCUAUUCCCACAAAAGAAACAAAAGAAGAUUAUAGGCCAGGGGAGCCAUGAGGUUUCAAGAGAGUCUAUUGAUGAGUGAAGUUGGAAGGAGUUGACACACGGGAAACCACCCUCCGAGAUGGCAGCGUCUUCUCUGUUGACAGUGUCUUCUCUUUACUCCAAGUGGUUCAGCAAGACCUGGUCAAUCUACUGUUCUACUGUUGUAUGACCAAGAUCACAUGAUUCCACAGACUUACGGAUGUUUCUGGAAGCAGGAAUGAGCUCUUCUGGAUCCCUGAUAUUAUAGACAGUGGUGUAAUAACUUUAUGAGAUUAGACAUGCUUCCUCCCAGGGUGUGUGGGGGGACUGUGUCAUCCUGAUAAUUAUACCUUUCUAUUGAUUAUUUCUUCUCACCUGAGAGCUUUGCCCUUCUUCAGGGUCUCUUUUCACAAAUCACUUCAAGACUCAGUAUGGUUUGAUGGUCCAUGUUCAAACCCCAGCUCUACCACUACUUACUGUGUCAUCUCAGAGGUGAUAAAGCACCUGUCCGGGUUGCAGAAGGUGAAGAUCUGCGUAUGAAACUUGCCCACAAAGAGAGCAGUUGAGAGGACUGAGGAAAUCUUAUGUGGGAACUUGAGAAUAGAAUGGAGAAGCCCAGGCUGGAGGUGAGAUGGGGAGGAUAAGAACUCUACAUACCAGUUAUGACCUCAGCUGGACUCCCAGAGAAGAACAAGAGGAGGGGUUGUUGGUUAAAGGUGAAAAUAACCUAUGAUUUGAAGGCUGGGCAGAUCUGAGCUCAAAUUUCACCACUAUAAGCCAUUUGGGAAAAUCACUACAUCUUUUUGUAUUUGAGGGUAGUCUGUUUGUGUUUUAUUUAUUUAUUUUUGUCACCUGGGGUUCAUUGCUCUUGGGUCAACAUUUUCAUAUAGAAAGAGAAAGGCAGAGAAGAAAUGACAUCACAGCAAUGCAGCUUCCCCCAACAUGGUGAGGGCCAGGCAUGAACCUGGGUCAAGUGGAAAGAUCAUAUUUUUUGUCCAUAUCUUAAUAUGAAUCACAGGGAAGUUUGUGAAGAGGAAAUGAAGGUUUUAGACAUUGUCCAGAGCAUAAUUUAUGAACCCAGUAAACAACAACUUUUAUGAGUAAUAGAAUGGUGGCCUAACUCAAAUACUUACCAGCUAAGAGAUAACAAUAAAAUACUUAAAGACUCUCUGAGCUCCAGUCCAGCUUACUUAUCUGUAAAUUUUAAUGAUACUACCUAUUUUUACACAAUAUUUUGUGGGCCAAAGAGCAGGUACUCAAGUUCUUUUACUAUUACUGUUGUUUUGAGGAAGUUGAUCUUCUGGUGCAGGUCCCAAAUAAAUAACCAUGAAACAAUGAUCCAAAUGAAAAGUUAAGUGGAUCAUUAUGUAUAGAGAGUCCCCAGAAGGAAUAGGUGCCAGUUCUCUCACCGAUGGUGGGAAGUUGCAAAGUGACUUUGCCUGCCAAGUUAUUUGCUUCCUAGCAGAGAAAACAAUACAUGGAAUUGGUCAUAAAGCCUGGAUUCUCACUAUUUACUGAGAAAAACCUGAUGUCAGGAUUUGCAACACAAGGUCCUGGUCCAGAACAGGGAACUCUGCCAGUUCACAGACAAAGGCUCUUUUGGUUUCUGAGCUGGCCUUGAACAAGUGCCCACCGUGGGGCCUUCCUUCAAGUAUCUUGUGACCAUCUUCAGAUAGACUGGCAUUGUGUCCCAUCCACAACUUUGUGAGGAUACAGAAGCAGUCACAUUUUCACUACCAAAUAUCCAAAUAAGCCUCAUCAAUACCAAAGGCAUGCUUUGCCCCAAGGGAGAAACAGAUGUUGUGUAUCACAGAAAAGACACUGGACAAGAAGCUCACCAGUUAGUCUUGUCCCCUCACUGGUUC
Erinaceus europaeus (western European hedgehog) is the source of this 2124-nucleotide long non-coding RNA. RefSeq lists it as uncharacterized. The record is from RefSeq and is a predicted model, not a curated record. The transcript is spliced from 3 exons. NCBI's taxonomy places the organism in Eukaryota, Metazoa, Chordata, Mammalia, Eulipotyphla, Erinaceidae.